This 616-nucleotide small RNA is filed under the name Bacillus sp. SG-1. Lineage: Bacteria; Bacillati; Bacillota; Bacilli; Caryophanales; Bacillaceae. The record is from RNAcentral.
CUACAACUUAAUAGGGAUGGUGCAGUAUUCUAGUCAAUCUACCAGUUCUGAAGGUGGGCCUAAAAAUCCACUAAAGGGCACAUCGAUGAAGUUCCUUGUUUCGGCUUGAGGCGCCCAGCCUUGGGUCGAAGCUGGGAGUAAGGUACAAGGGCGAUCCACAAUGGCAUGUGGGCGUUGACCCUUGCACCGCGGAGGUUCCGUUCUGGGCCGGCAAGUUGCAUGAGCAACAGAACGGAGUAUAGACCUGCGAUGCGGUGACAACCGCUAGCAGCGUAGCCUGCCUUGAGUGAAGUGUGAGGGGAUUAUGGUUACAAGGUACACAUCAGUUGGCCAUUGAUAUGUGCUUUUUCGCCCAUAUGAAAUCCACUUUGCAAAAGAGGCUAAGAACAUGGUUAAAGGUUGCUGAGGAAAACUCCUAGACUGUUCCCAUUUGUGACAUAUAUUGAGGAUUAUAGUGCGGACUAAGUGGUAAUCCAGUCUAACUGCUGGUGACACAGUUAAGUCGGGUUUAAAGGGAAACCGCCGGUAUGGCGACAUCCGGUACCUGAUUGGGAAAACCUACUGGACCUAAGCUGCAAUUUUUACUCAAUGUAUGACCAUCCCUUUACAUAUUUGA